AGUGAACGCUGGCGGCGUGCUUAACACAUGCAAGUCGUACGAGAAAGCUUCUGCUUGCAGAGGCGAGUAAAGUGGCGCACGGGUGAGUAACGCGUGGGUAAUCUACCCUCGAAUUGGGGAUAGCAUUGCGAAAGCGAUGCUAAUACCGGAUAAUAUCCAAUGAUUUUUGGAUUGUUGGAUCAAAGAUGGCCUCUUCUUGAAAGCUAUUGUUUGAGGAUGAGCCCGCGUCCCAUUAGCUUGUUGGUAGGGUAAUGGCCUACCAAGGCAACGAUGGGUAGCUGGUCUGAGAGGAUGAUCAGCCACACUGGAUCUGACACACGGUCCAGACUCCUACGGGAGGCAGCAGUGAGGAAUUUUGCGCAAUGGGGGAAACCCUGACGCAGCAACGCCGCGUGAGUGAUGAAGGCUUUCGGGUCGUAAGGCUCUGUCAAGUGGGAAGAAACUGCAUUUGGCCAAUAUCCAUUUGCACUGACGGUACCACUAAAGGAAGCACCGGCUAACUCCGUGCCAGCAGCCGCGGUAACACGGGGGGUGCAAGCGUUACUCGGAAUCAUUGGGCGUAAAGGGCGCGCAGGCGGCCUGGUUAGUCAGAUGUGAAAGCCCGGGGCUCAACCCCGGAAGUACAUUUGAUACUGC
This 636-nucleotide ribosomal RNA is filed under the name uncultured bacterium. RNAcentral's name for it is "bacterial SSU rRNA". It matches the Rfam family "Bacterial small subunit ribosomal RNA", at positions 28 to 636 of the family's 1533-position model. The record is from RNAcentral.